UACCAGCACCCCGAGUGGUCGGGGCGUUUAUUGGGCCUAAAGCAUCCGUAGCCGGUUCUACAAGUCUUCCGUUAAAUCCACCUGCUUAACAGAUGGGCUGCGGAAGAUACUAUAGAGCUAGAAGGCGGGAGAGGCAAGCGGUACUCGAUGGGUAGGGGUAAAAUCCGUUGAUCCAUUGAAGACCACCAGUGGCGAAGGCGGCUUGCCAGAACGCGCUCGACGGUGAGGGAUGAAAGCUGGGGGAGCAAACCGG
Molecule: ribosomal RNA, 253 nt
Filed under: uncultured bacterium
Lineage: Bacteria
Description: partial 16S ribosomal RNA
Rfam family: Archaeal small subunit ribosomal RNA
Source: RNAcentral